This is a long non-coding RNA of Lontra canadensis (Northern American river otter), 503 nucleotides long. RefSeq lists it as uncharacterized. Lineage: Eukaryota; Metazoa; Chordata; Mammalia; Carnivora; Mustelidae. The record is from RefSeq and is a predicted model, not a curated record. The transcript is spliced from 3 exons.
CUCCCUCCUCCCAUUGUGAGGCAGUUCUGGGUACAGGCAGUGGGGUAGGGUGGGAGGAAACAGAGGCGGUAGGGGCAGUGACCUGGGCUCUGCCUGCUUCCACCCCCUUCUGACGCCUUUGGUCACCCCCACCAUCAUGGGCAGUGCUUACCACUGGGAGGCCCGGCGUAGGCAGAUGGCUUUGGACCGGAGGAGGUGGCUGAUGGUCAAGCACCAGCGGCAGCAGCAGGAACAGCAGGAGCAACAGUGCUGUUUCAAAGUGUUUGCAAGAACGUAUCCUUUAUUCUCCCCUUACUGCUCCCAAGGUAGGAGGAACUGAAGAAACUCCAAGAGGAGAAAGGCCAAUCUGAGAAAAAACCCCAGUCCCCUCGGGGGUCACGAGAGGAGCAGCAGCCACCACCGCCACAGAGGCCACCAGGAGCGCAACCACAGCAGCAGGCGCCCCCUGCCCAACCGCAGCCUUGCCGACCGCAGGUCCCCGAGCAGACACAGACCCCACGCGC